This 254-nucleotide ribosomal RNA is filed under the name uncultured bacterium. RNAcentral describes it as "partial 16S ribosomal RNA". It matches the Rfam family "Bacterial small subunit ribosomal RNA", at positions 524 to 776 of the family's 1533-position model. The record is from RNAcentral.
UACGUAGGGGGCAAGCGUUGUCCGGAUUUAUUGGGCGUAAAGCGCGUGUAGGCGGCCCGGCACGUCCGUCGCUGAAAUCCCCCGGCUCAACCGGGGAAGUGGCGGGGAUACGGCCGGGCUGGAGGGGGGUAGGGGGAGCCGGAACUUCCGGUGGAGCAGUGAAAUGCGUUGAGAUCGGAAGGAACGCCCGUGGCGAAAGCGGGCUCCUGGACCCCACCUGACGCUGAGACGCGAAAGCCAGGGGAGCGAACGGG